AGUGAACGCUGGCGGUAGGCCUAACACAUGCAAGUCGAACGGCAGCACAGUAAGAGCUUGCUCUUACGGGUGGCGAGUGGCGGACGGGUGAGGAAUACAUCGGAAUCUACUUUUUCGUGGGGGAUAACGUAGGGAAACUUACGCUAAUACCGCAUAUGACCUACGGGUGAAAGCAGGGGAUCUUCGGACCUUGCGCGAUUGAAUGAGCCGAUGUCGGAUUAGCUAGUUGGCGGGGUAAAGGCCCACCAAGGCGACGAUCCGUAGCUGAUCUGAGAGGAUGAUCAGCCACACUGGAACUGAGACACGGUCCAGACUCCUACGGGAGGCAGCAGUGGGGAAUAUUGGACAAUGGGCGCAAGCCUGAUCCAGCCAUACCGCGUGGGUGAAGAAGGCCUUCGGGUUGUAAAGCCCUUUUGUUGGGAAAGAAAAGCAGCAGGUUAAUACCCCGCUGUUCUGACGGUACCCAAAGAAUAAGCACCGGCUAACUUCGUG
Molecule: ribosomal RNA, 492 nt
Filed under: uncultured bacterium
Lineage: Bacteria
Description: partial 16S ribosomal RNA
Rfam family: Bacterial small subunit ribosomal RNA
Source: RNAcentral